CCCUUAGAUGUUCUGGGCCGCACGCGCGCUACACUGACUGGUGCAACAAGUGUCGCUCCUUGGCCGAUAGGCCUGGGCAAUCUUUGAACGCCAGUCGUGAUGGGGAUAGAUUCUUGCAAUUUUUGAUCUUCAACGAGGAAUUCCUAGUAAACGCGAGUCAUCAACUCGCAUUGAUUACGUCCCUGCCCUUUGUACACACCGCCCGUCGCACCUACCGAUUGAAUGGUCCGGUGAACCCUCCGGAUCGGCCCGCGCCAACGCAAGUUGAGCAAAGGCCGAGAAGUUGGGUAAACCUUACCAUUUAGAGGAAGGUGGAGUCGUAACA
This 325-nucleotide ribosomal RNA is filed under the name uncultured eukaryote. RNAcentral's name for it is "partial 18S ribosomal RNA". It matches the Rfam family "Eukaryotic small subunit ribosomal RNA", at positions 1470 to 1796 of the family's 1831-position model. The record is from RNAcentral.